GGCGGCAGGCUUAACACAUGCAAGUCGAGCGGUAGCAGAUCUAGCUUGCUAGAUGCUGACGAGCGGCGGACGGGUGAGUAACGCGUAGGAACCUGCCCAGUAGUGGGGGAUAGCCCGGGGAAACUCGAAUUAAUACCGCAUACGCUCUACGGAGGAAAGAGGGGCUUCGGCUCUCGCUAUUGGAUGGGCCUGCGUGAGAUUAGCUAGUUGGUGAGGUAAUGGCUCACCAAGGCGACGAUCUCUAGCUGGUCUGAGAGGAUGAUCAGCCACACUGGGACUGAGACACGGCCCAGACUCCUACGGGAGGCAGCAGUGGGGAAUAUUGCACAAUGGGCGCAAGCCUGAUGCAGCCAUGCCGCGUGUGUGAAGAAGGCUUUCGGGUUGUAAAGCACUUUCAGUGGGGAGGAAGGCCUCGUAGUUAAUAGCUGCGAGGAUUGACGUUACCCACAGAAGAAGCACCGGCUAACUCCGUG
Molecule: ribosomal RNA, 473 nt
Filed under: uncultured bacterium
Lineage: Bacteria
Description: bacterial SSU rRNA
Rfam family: Bacterial small subunit ribosomal RNA
Source: RNAcentral